Mustela erminea (ermine) is the source of this 355-nucleotide long non-coding RNA. RefSeq lists it as uncharacterized. The record is from RefSeq and is a predicted model, not a curated record. Lineage: Eukaryota; Metazoa; Chordata; Mammalia; Carnivora; Mustelidae. The transcript has 2 exons.
CGAUCCCGGGACUCUAGACGGUCGCGGAAGGCACUAGAGAGUAGUGGUUGUCUAAUCGCUGAGCAAACCCAAGCGCGUGUGGUGCACGCUGGGCUCGCUUCCCUGCCCCACAGGGAUAGCCCGGCCACCGACGUCCGCGCUGACGGGCUCAGACUCGGAAGCCAGGCCCGCAGGAUGAAGCGCCUGACAGCGGCGGCCGAUGGGAAGCUCUUGCUCAGUUAGGUGAAUGAGAGGGUUAAGCCUACCGAGACCGGGCGCUGGCACUGCCUAGAGCGGCACUUCCGGUUCCGGUGCCGGCCCCGGGCCCCACCCCACCCUGGGUGGGGAAAGGCUCGCGCCGACCCUCCCCUUCCGA